This 1400-nucleotide ribosomal RNA is filed under the name metagenome. RNAcentral describes it as "bacterial LSU rRNA". It matches the Rfam family "Bacterial large subunit ribosomal RNA", at positions 1536 to 2925 of the family's 2925-position model. The record is from RNAcentral.
CCAAAAUCCGUGCGGCUUAGCUGAGGCGUGAUGACGAGGUGCCACUGGCACUGAAGUGACUGAUACCCUGCUUCCAGGAAAAGCCUCUAAGCUUCAGUCUGUGACGACCGUACCGCAAACCGACACAGGUGGGCAGGAUGAAAAUUCUAAGGCGCUUGAGAGAACUCAGGAGAAGGAACUCGGCAAAUUGACACCGUAACUUCGGGAGAAGGUGUGCCUCGAUAACGUGAAAGCCCUCGCGGCUGGAGCGGUAAGAGGUUGCAAAGAAUCGGUGGCUGCGACUGUUUAAUGAAAACACAGCACUCUGCUAAGGCGAAAGCCGACGUAUAGGGUGUGACGCCUGCCCGGUGCCGGAAGGUUAAGUGAUGGGGUGCAAGCUCUUGAUCGAAGCCCCGGUAAACGGCGGCCGUAACAAUAACGGUCCUAGGUAGCGAAAUUCCUUGUCGGGUAAGUUCCGACCUGCACGAAUGGCGUAACGAUGGCCACACUGUCUCCUCCUGAGACUCAGCGAAGUUGAAGUGUUUGUGAAGAUGCAAUCUACCCGCGGCUAGACGGAAAGACCCCAUGAACCUUUACUGUAGCUUUGCAUUGGACUUUGACGGGACUUGUGUAGGAUAGGUGGGAGGCUGUGAGACGGGGUCGCUAGAUCUCGUGGAGCCAACCUUGAGAUACCACCCUGGUGUCGUUGAGGUUCUAACCUUGGUCCGUGAAUCCGGAUCGGGGACCGUGCAUGGUGGGCAGUUUGACUGGGGCGGUCUCCUCCUAAAGGGUAACGGAGGAGUACGAAGGUCUUCUAGGUACGGUCGGACAUCGUACUGAUAGUGCAAUGGCAAAAGAAGGCUUGACUGCGAGACCCACAAGUCGAGCAGGUGCGAAAGCAGGUCAUAGUGAUCCGGUGGUUCUGUAUGGAAGGGCCAUCGCUCAACGGAUAAAAGGUACUCUGGGGAUAACAGGCUGAUUCCGCCCAAGAGUUCAUAUCGACGGCGGAGUUUGGCACCUCGAUGUCGGCUCAUCACAUCCUGGGGCUGUAGCCGGUCCCAAGGGUAUGGCUGUUCGCCAUUUAAAGUGGUACGUGAGCUGGGUUUAAAACGUCGUGAGACAGUUUGGUCCCUAUCUGCCGUGGGCGUUGGAUAUUUGAGGGGGGCUGCUCCUAGUACGAGAGGACCGGAGUGGACGGAUCUCUGGUGUACCGGUUGUCACGCCAGUGGCAUCGCCGGGUAGCUAAAUCCGGAAGAGAUAAACGCUGAAAGCAUCUAAGCGUGAAACUCGCCUCAAGAUGAGAUAUCCCGGGAACUCGAUUCCCCUAAAGGGUCGUCCAAGACCAGGACGUUGAUAGGUCGGGUGUGGAAGCGCAGUAAUGCGUUAAGCUAACCGAUACUAAUUGCCCGUGCGGCUUGACU